Molecule: long non-coding RNA, 231 nt
Filed under: Brassica napus (rape)
Lineage: Eukaryota; Viridiplantae; Streptophyta; Magnoliopsida; Brassicales; Brassicaceae
Description: long non-coding RNA (BNAP_LNC001149)
Source: RNAcentral
UUUACAUAAUAUUAUAUUAAAAAAAUUUUAACUUGAUGCAGUUUGAUGUAAUUGUACUAUUCAUAUAUUAACUUGUUGUUUUUUGUCAAUUUAUUUUAAAAUGAAUCAACAUACUAAAAUUUUUAUUUUUUUUGCAUUAGUUUUCUAUGAAUAAUUAUUAAUUUUUAUGAUAUUUUGUUUUCCUGAAAAUGAACUCUCAAAAUUUUUAUAUUUAACAACAUACUAUUUAGU